Molecule: ribosomal RNA, 465 nt
Filed under: Vreelandella stevensii
Lineage: Bacteria; Pseudomonadati; Pseudomonadota; Gammaproteobacteria; Oceanospirillales; Halomonadaceae
Description: partial 16S ribosomal RNA
Rfam family: Bacterial small subunit ribosomal RNA
Source: RNAcentral
CCUACGGGUGGCAGCAGUGGGGAAUAUUGGACAAUGGGGGGAACCCUGAUCCAGCCAUGCCGCGUGUGUGAAGAAGGCCCUCGGGUUGUAAAGCACUUUCAGUGAGGAAGAACGCCUGGUGGUUAAUACCCAUCAGGAAAGACAUCACUCACAGAAGAAGCACCGGCUAACUCCGUGCCAGCAGCCGCGGUAAUACGGAGGGUGCGAGCGUUAAUCGGAAUUACUGGGCGUAAAGCGCGCGUAGGUGGCUUGAUAAGCCGGUUGUGAAAGCCCCAGGCUCAACCUGGGAACGGCAUCCGGAACUGUCAAGCUAGAGUGCAGGAGAGGAAGGUAGAAUUCCCGGUGUAGCGGUGAAAUGCGUAGAGAUCGGGAGGAAUACCAGUGGCGAAGGCGGCCUUCUGGACUGACACUGACACUGAGGUGCGAAAGCGUGGGUAGCAAACAGGAUUAGAUACCCGUGUAGUC